Molecule: long non-coding RNA, 213 nt
Filed under: Mytilus galloprovincialis (Mediterranean mussel)
Lineage: Eukaryota; Metazoa; Mollusca; Bivalvia; Mytilida; Mytilidae
Source: RNAcentral
CUUCCGGUUUAAAAGAUGUUAUUUCUGGUAUGUUUUGAUAGUUUACUUGACACUGAUUCCAAAAAUAGAUGGUUCGAUAUAUUUUUACAUUAAAUUAGUACAAAAAAUGGCUACUUCCGGUUUACAAAAGGUCACUUCCGGUUGGCUUUUUCAAGGUCACAUUGCUUGCAACCUUUUGCCAAAAGUCCCAUGGCUUUAUCAUGUAUAUAUAAG